Molecule: long non-coding RNA, 447 nt
Organism: Ostrinia furnacalis (Asian corn borer)
Lineage: Eukaryota; Metazoa; Arthropoda; Insecta; Lepidoptera; Crambidae
Exons: 2
Source: RefSeq, a predicted model, not a curated record
UUGGUUAUAAUGUCAGUGGAUGACUCCUCAGCUGGUAAGUUAUUGAAUGAGUGUGUGGACUUGUUGAAUACCUUUUACAAUGUAUUUGAUCAACUACCUUUACCGUAGAUUACCAUAAUCCUAAUAAAACUUUUUUUUUAGAUUGAUAACAGCAGUGUAUGUUGUCACUCAUGUUGGACCUUGGCCACGGUGUGGCUCUGCACCAAUCAAGGACAAAUUAUAUUUCAAAUGAAGAAGCAACCACUAGCACUGGUCACAGUUAACGUGGAUUAUCUUUGUUACAAAUACGUUCCAUAGACUGCAUAUUAACACGGAAAGAGAAUCACAUAUUCGAAAAUAAUGUAAUAAUGGAACAGAUUUCACCUCGUCAACUGCGGGGAUCUUACCAAAUAUGUCAUCCCUGAUGGCAGUGAGCUGAUCGAGCUGCUACAUAUGCUGUGGAGCCCC